Molecule: long non-coding RNA, 1064 nt
Filed under: Homo sapiens (human)
Lineage: Eukaryota; Metazoa; Chordata; Mammalia; Primates; Hominidae
Description: HSALNT0177642
Source: RNAcentral
CUGGUGGUUUCGGGCGACCUUCGGCUCUUCUCAGCUGGUCCAUGCGCAGCUCCAAACUCGGCCUCUGUCCUCACAGGGCUAUCGGCCCCAUGUCUUCACGUGGCAGUCUCUCCUCUGUGCCACUGGCUCCCGUCCCCUUAAAAGGACACCAGUCAUAUUGGACGAAGGGGCCACCCUACUCUAGUAUGACCUCACCUUAACUUACAUCUUUUUUUUUGGGGGGGGACAAAGUCUUGCUCUGUUGCCUGAGCUGGAGUGCAGUGACGUGAUCUCAGCUCACUGCAACCUCCGCCUCCCGGGUUUAAGUGAUUCUCUUGCCUCACUCAGCCUCCCGAGUAACUGGGAAAUACAGGCACCACCAUCAUGCCUGGCUAAUUUUUAAAUUAUUAUUCUUUUUAGUAGAGAGAGGGUUUCACUGUGUUGGCCAGGCUGGUCUCCAACUCCUGACUUCGUGAUCCACCUACCUUAGCCUCCCAAAGUGCUGGGAUUACAGGCGUGAGCCACUUCGCCUGGCCCAAUUUACAUCUUAAAAAAAUCUACAAAGACCCUAUUUCCUAUUUCCAAGUAAAGUCACAGAAGCUAAAGUACCAGAAGCUAGGACUUCAACGUUUCCUUUUGCGGAUACAAUUCAAUUUGCAACAGACUUGGGCUCUCAAAGCCUGGAAGCAGCCUCCACAGUCCCCUCGAAUUUCAGGGGCACCACAUACUCUACAUGUUCAGGUAUCGCCUGAGAUAAAGGCUUCCAUCCCUGCAACCCAAGCCCAGCUGCUCUGGUAAAGGGUGCCAGAGAGACACAGCCAAGGCGUUAUCCUGAUGGGGGUGUCACCAAGGGGUAGACGCCAAGGCCUCGAUGCCACCUGAGUUUACCAGCCGGGGAGAGUUAAGAAAAAGUGUAUGCGCAAGGAGCGGCUUUCCUUCUUGGAAGUUAAUCUGAGAGGUCCCAGCGGAACCCUUAGUCACGCUGGCUUGGACAACUCACUGAACCCUUGAGGCCUGGCUCCUCGCCUGCAGGCCCCGUGUCCUGUGAAGCACCAAACACAGUGACCCAUUUUUCUCAGAUCUUA